UAACCUGAGAGUUUGAUCCUGGCUCAGAACGAACGCUGGCGGCAUGCCUAACACAUGCAAGUCGAACGCCUGUAGCAAUACAGGAGUGGCAGACGGGUGCAUAACACGUGGGAACCUACCCUUGGGU
RNAcentral lists this ribosomal RNA (127 nucleotides) under Rhodospirillales bacterium. RNAcentral describes it as "partial 16S ribosomal RNA". It matches the Rfam family "Bacterial small subunit ribosomal RNA", at positions 1 to 137 of the family's 1533-position model. The record is from RNAcentral. Lineage: Bacteria; Pseudomonadati; Pseudomonadota; Alphaproteobacteria; Rhodospirillales.